Molecule: long non-coding RNA, 1095 nt
Organism: Gallus gallus (chicken)
Lineage: Eukaryota; Metazoa; Chordata; Aves; Galliformes; Phasianidae
Source: Ensembl
CACAUGCAGUCGCUCAUCCAAGGUCUGGAUGAGACCACUCAUUCCAUCCAGUAUUACGUUACUUAAGCAUGCCAUACUUCUGUGAAAAAGCAAGUAUUCUCUCAGAUGAAGAAGCAAGGGAAAAUGCAAGUUUUACCUGUCUCUGAUCUUACUCAGGGUUAAUUCUUGUGAUCAUAGAAUCACAGAGUGGUUCAUUAUGCUGGAAAAUCCAUCUGUCAUCACAGGAACCAACUUGCCAAAGACCUGGAGCAAUGGGUAUGGCCCCUGAGACAAGAAACCCUGUUACAGUUUGUGUGGAUGACCUUCUGAUAGCUACUGAAACAAAGGAGAACACCUACUGGAGUCCCAUCUGAAGAACAGAAACUGGACAGCAGCAGCAAGGAUUGAAAAUAGAUUGGAAGAACUGCCCUGAAGAAAAGGAUCUGAGAAUGUCGAUUGACAGCAAGCUCAACAUAAAUCAACAGAGUGCCCUGGCAGCCAAGAGAACAAUGCAUUAAACACAGCAUAGUCAGUUGGACAAGAAAGGUGGUUCUACCACUGUCUUUAGUAUCAGUGCAGCCUCACUUUGAGUAUUAUGUGCAUAUUGUGCAGAAUUCUAGUCUCCAUGAUAAGUAAGUGUGUUAGAGUACUUGAAAUUGUCCAGAGGAGAACAGUAAAUCUGGUGAGAGGCUGGAAAACAUGUGCUAUGAGGAAAGGCUGAGGACACUGUUGUCCAGUCUGGAGAGAAGAAGGCCAAGCAGUGACCUCUUUGCUCUCUGAAACUUCCUGAGGAGAGGAGUGUGAAGGGGAUGUGUAACCAGGGACAGGAUGUGUGGGAAUGGCACAGAGCUGUACCACUGGAGGGGCAGACUCGUUGUUAGGAAACAUUUCUUUGCCUUGAAGGUGGUCAAAGAGUAUUACAGACUUCCUAGAGAAGUAAUUGAUGAAUCAUCACUGUCAGUGUUUAAGAAGCCUUUGGAUAAUACUGUCAAUAACAUGCUUUAACUUCUGAUUAGCCCUGAAGUAGUUAUAUAUUUGGAUUUGAUCUUUGUUGAUCCCUUUCAACUGAACUGUUCUGUUGACAUUAGCAGAAUGUUGCUCAUCAUAAAACAGGAA